Long non-coding RNA from Alosa alosa (allis shad), 2135 nucleotides. RefSeq lists it as uncharacterized. NCBI's taxonomy places the organism in Eukaryota, Metazoa, Chordata, Actinopteri, Clupeiformes, Clupeidae. The record is from RefSeq and is a predicted model, not a curated record. The transcript is spliced from 4 exons.
UGUGUGUAGCUCAUUUUUUGGAUAUUUUUACCUAAAUUCUUGCACAUGGCACCUUUAAACAGUGUAUUUGAUAUAAAAACUUUUCAGUUUAAAAUUUGUGCCAGGAAAUGAUUAGCUUGCAGAAGAACAGGUGCAUUUAUCUCCCCACCACAUGUGUACCAUUCAAAUAUUUAUUUUAUUAUUAUUAUUAUUAUUAGUAGUAGUAGUAGUAGUAUUAGUAUUGUUAUUAAUCAGUAGCUUUAAACAUGAAAACAUGAAUCUUUUUCUGCUAUAAGUUCCACUGUUACUGUGCACACUACAGCAAGGAGAGUGUCCUUGCGGUUCCUGGUUGCUUGGUUUUGAAUCAGUGGGAGAGGUAAACACAGAGAGCGUCAUUGUUCAUCUUUUCAUCAGUCUCACUCUCAGUGGAAUACUCUCUGGAUUCCUUCCUGGUAACCAGGCCCUUGUGUUGACCACACUGUUUUUAUCCUUUGGUGCUAUACAAGGUCUCAUAAUAUCUUACAUUGGGAGCUGCCACACUGAAAGCUAGACAAAACAAAUCAUGUAACGUAGUUGAACACGAAAUGAGAAGCACAUAGCAAGGCUUUUGUAGGAUUUCUCUCCAAGGAGAAUAAACCAUGGGAUAAAUUACCUGCUCUGAAGAGGCCUUAAGCUGUGGACAGAUGAAUGCAGGUGUUUUGUAAGCUGGAUGAGUUCCAUCUGUUCUGCUGACCUUAUAGUUUAUUUUCCUUCUAUAAAGCAACACAGCAGCUGCUGUCACAAACACAUGGAAAUAUGUUAAACUGCACAUUUAUUUACACAUUCAUCUGGCAUUAAUUUUCCUUUAUAAACAUCCUUAAGUAUGAAAUAGUAUUCAGAAGGAUCAUGGCCUUUGUGAAUGGUUUGUGACAGCAAGAGUUAUAUUGACAAAAGGUUUUGAAAACACACAUUUCCUUGCAUGCCUUUUUAGAUUUCAGCAUGUGUAAUGUUUUUCAUUCAAAAGACAAUGAAUAUAUUGAACAUAUUUCAAAGACAAUGAACAUAUUUUGCUGUCAGCAUGUCUGUACCGCAACGUGUGACAAGUGUGAGAAAGUAUAACAGCAUGAGUUUGAUAGCAGCUCACAUGAAGUCAAGGAGAAAUAUAUUGCCGGUGACUGCACCUUGUAUACAAACACUUGAAGUGAUGGCCCAUGGCGAAGAGAUUUGUUGUCAGAAAGAUGAUUGUGAUAUGUGACCUCUCAAUCUCUCCUCUAUCUAUCCACCCUUUAGUUCUCAGCAUAGAGACUGAACAGCAGAGUAUGUAUCAUGCUUGGAUACCAAAUAGAAAUCACUGUCCUUGGAAACAAGAGAGAUCUGAAAGUUGGUGGUCGGUAGGUCUUUGUUCCGUGAUGGAAUAUUCCAGAAUCUUCUGUGUACUGAAAGAUUAUUGAAAAAAAAAAAGAAAAAAGGUCAGUGUCCUGCGUCACUAAGUGUGUUUGAAAACAUCACUCUUCAAUUCCUUUUUUCCCUUUGGUCAUUGUUGUACACAAUGUUUAAUGUUUGAGGAGGGACUUCAUCCUUUACUUUCCGUUCAACCCCUUUAUUAUGCUCCUUUAUUAGGGGACCCAUUAAAGCAUGAUUACUGCAACCAUCCCCUUUCUAUUUGUUUUAGUGAUAUAUUCCAUGAGGAGGUUACUGGGUUGGUGUUGGUAAGGCCAGUAUGGAUGGCAAGAAGGGCAACAGAGUGAGUUCAAUGCACUGGACGGGUGAAAAAGGUUUCCUGACACGAAAGGGUCGGCAUGCGUACUCCAGAGCUCUUCGUGCUGAGCACACCACCAGUACUGUACACCCGAACGACGGGGAUUUGGACCGCCUCAGCCACGGCCAGUUUGGGAGUUUUGGAACGAGAGGCCAAGUCCGAGACGGUCAGCAGAACAGUGGUCAUUUCAACUCUGACACGCAUGCAUGUAAUGGCAUCCAGUCCCGUGGCUGUGCUACGGCACAGGAUUGCUCUGGUUGUCUGGGACUCUACACAUGCAGUUUGUCCCAGAGGAAGUGUCGACUGAAGGGCCUGUCCCGCCACGCAGGCAGAUUCUACAAAACCCUAAGAAUUGCUUGAAUUGAAUUGAUAAGUUUACAUCCUGCAUCCACAGCACAGAGGCAGGCUAACGAAACGC